GUGCUUGCUUCGGCAGCACAUAUACUAAAAUUGGAGCAAUACAGAGAAGAUUAGCAUGGCCCCUGAGUAAGGAUGACAUGCAAAUUUGUGAAGCGUUUCAUAUUUUU
This is a small nuclear RNA of Otolemur garnettii (small-eared galago), 107 nucleotides long. Lineage: Eukaryota; Metazoa; Chordata; Mammalia; Primates; Galagidae. The record is from Ensembl.